RNAcentral lists this non-coding RNA (301 nucleotides) under Sporomusa malonica. Its description in RNAcentral is "Bacterial small subunit ribosomal RNA". It matches the Rfam family "Bacterial small subunit ribosomal RNA", at positions 1 to 289 of the family's 1533-position model. The record is from Rfam by way of RNAcentral. Lineage: Bacteria; Bacillati; Bacillota; Negativicutes; Selenomonadales; Sporomusaceae.
UUAUUGGAGAGUUUGAUCCUGGCUCAGGACGAACGCUGGCGGCGUGCCUAACACAUGCAAGUCGAACGGAGUAUUCAGUAAUGGAUACUUAGUGGCGAACGGGUGAGUAACGCGUAGACAACCUGCCUCUAAAUUGGGGACAACACCGCGAAAGUGGUGCUAAUACCGAAUGUGGUAUCUCGGUUGCAUGACUGAGAUAAGAAAGAUGGCCUCUACAUGUAAGCUAUCGUUUAGAGAUGGGUCUGCGUCUGAUUAGCUAGUUGGUGAGGUAAAGGCUCACCAAGGCGACGAUCAGUAGCCG